RNAcentral lists this ribosomal RNA (253 nucleotides) under uncultured bacterium. RNAcentral's name for it is "partial 16S ribosomal RNA". It matches the Rfam family "Bacterial small subunit ribosomal RNA", at positions 524 to 776 of the family's 1533-position model. The record is from RNAcentral.
UACAGAGGGUGCAAGCGUUAAUCGGAUUUACUGGGCGUAAAGCGUGCGUAGGCGGUUCAUUAAGUCGGUUGUGAAAUCCCUGGGCUUAACCUGGGAACUGCAGUCGAUACUGAUGGACUAGAGUACGGUAGAGGGUGGCGGAACUCCGGGUGUAGCGGUGAAAUGCGUAGAUAUCCGGAAGAACACCGAUGGCGAAGGCAACCACCUGGGCCUUACCUGACGCUGAGGAGCGAAAGCGUGGGGAGCAAACAGG